RNAcentral lists this non-coding RNA (115 nucleotides) under Kibdelosporangium phytohabitans. Its description in RNAcentral is "SAM-I sequence". It matches the Rfam family "SAM riboswitch aptamer (S box leader)". From Rfam's summary of the family: The SAM riboswitch is found upstream of a number of genes which code for proteins involved in methionine or cysteine biosynthesis in Gram-positive bacteria. Lineage: Bacteria; Bacillati; Actinomycetota; Actinomycetes; Pseudonocardiales; Pseudonocardiaceae. The record is from Rfam by way of RNAcentral.
UGCUCAUCCAGAGGGGCAGAGGGAUCGGCCCGAAGAAGCCCCGGCAACCGGCGUUCACCGUUCAGGUGGCGAUCACGGUGCCAAUUCCGACCGGUGAAAGCCGGAAAGAUGAGGA